AUUAAUAAGUACAAGAGAGUACAUUUUUGGUAACAUUAAUAAUUGGUCAAUUGGUACUGGAAGAUGAAAUAUCAAUUGAGAUAUUUUAUGUUACUACCUAAUAUUAUAAUAUAUAUAAAGUAUAUGUUAUAUAUUUGUGUGGUUGUAAGAGAAAGAGAAAGAAAAGGAUAAGAAGAGUAGGUAGUAAGUAAGAAAGAGUUAUCAGAAAGAAAGAAAAGAAGAAAGGGGAAAGUAGAUAAGAGGAAAAGAGAAGAAAGAAGAAGAGAGAAAGAAGGAAGAAAGGCUUGGAGGAGAAAAGGAAAAGCUCAUCAUCACCAUUUUCUACUCAUCAUCCUCACCAACUUCAUCUUCUUCUUCUACUAGGUGAGUUCUUAGAUAGAUUUAGCCUUUAGGGGAAAAUAACCUAUGUUUGGGGGUUAGGAUUUGUGUGAAUUUGCGAUGAACUUGUUGUGUUCAUACUCCUCAUCCAUGCUAUGCAGUGAACUCUGAAGAUGUUAAUUAUUAAUAAAAGAGACAUACGAAUAUUAAUAAGUACAAAAGAGGACAUUUUUGGUAACAUUAAUAAUUGGUCAAGUGGUACUGGAAGAUGAAAUAUCAAUUGAGAUAUUUUAUGUUACUACCUAAUAUUAAAAUAUAUAUAAAGUAUAUGUUAUAUAAUUGUGUGGUGGUAAGAGAAAG
RNAcentral lists this long non-coding RNA (678 nucleotides) under Lathyrus oleraceus (garden pea). RNAcentral describes it as "Pisum sativum (pea) long non-coding RNA (PSAT_LNC032917)". The record is from RNAcentral. Lineage: Eukaryota; Viridiplantae; Streptophyta; Magnoliopsida; Fabales; Fabaceae.